Molecule: non-coding RNA, 543 nt
Organism: Podarcis lilfordi (Lilford's wall lizard)
Lineage: Eukaryota; Metazoa; Chordata; Lepidosauria; Squamata; Lacertidae
Source: the annotation of a GenBank genome assembly
GUUUAACCCACAGCGCCACCCGUGUCCCUUCUAGGAAGCUGCCUCACGCCAGGUCAAAUUAUCCGGCCGUCUAGCCCAGCAGUGGUGAGUGUCUGCAAAUAUUUUGGAUCUCAGACAGAAAAAAGUCUUUCCCCUCCUCCUGCUCCCUGGUCUUUUUAAACGGAGUUUGAACCCAAGACCUUGUGAGGCAGGUGUUCUGCCACCAAGCUACAAAUCCUGCAGUAUUUGAAUAUCCCGAUAUCCACCCUCCCACUGUCUUCCCCCCACCCUAAAAUCCCACUCUGUAAAGACUGCAUUUCCCACUUGGUUCCUGACAUCGUUUGUUCAGAUGUGAAACUCGGCCAGAUGAGAGGGGAAUGAAUGAAUGAAUGAAUGAAUGAAUGAAUACAUAAAUAUGACAAUUCCUGAUCCAACACAAUUAACCUUCCUCUCCUGUCCGGCCACUGCCGGGAUGAAAUUGUGUCUUCAUUUUUUAUUUUUUUUAAAUCAUUUUUAUUGAUUUUCCAAUAAAAACAGCCAAUCGAGAUAUCCGAAUCAUAAUCC